RNAcentral lists this ribosomal RNA (253 nucleotides) under uncultured bacterium. RNAcentral's name for it is "partial 16S ribosomal RNA". It matches the Rfam family "Bacterial small subunit ribosomal RNA", at positions 524 to 776 of the family's 1533-position model. The record is from RNAcentral.
UACGUAGGAUGCAAGCGUUGUCCGGAAUUAUUGGGCGUAAAGAGCGCGCAGGCGGUCUAUCAAGUCAGAUGUGAAAUAUCCGGGCUUAACCCGGAGGGGUCAUUUGAAACUGGUAGACUAGAGUACAGCAGAGGAUAGCGGAAUUCCCGGUGUAGUGGUGAAAUGCGUAGAUAUCGGGAGGAACACCAGUGGCGAAGGCGGCUUUCUGGCCCGUUCUUGACGCUGAGGCGCGAAAGCUAGGGUAGCAAACGGG